UCGGGAUAGCUCAGCUGGUAGAGCAGAGGACUGAAAAUCCUCCGUG
Molecule: transfer RNA, 46 nt
Filed under: Plagiosiphon sp. Wieringa 4039
Lineage: Eukaryota; Viridiplantae; Streptophyta; Magnoliopsida; Fabales; Fabaceae
Description: partial tRNA-Phe
Source: RNAcentral